This 73-nucleotide transfer RNA is filed under the name Marmota monax (woodchuck). RNAcentral's name for it is "tRNA.Gly". The record is from RNAcentral. Lineage: Eukaryota; Metazoa; Chordata; Mammalia; Rodentia; Sciuridae.
UGGGUUGUAGACCAGUUGGUAGAGCACUUGCCUACCAUGUAUGAGGCACUGGGUUCAAUCCUCAGCACCACAU